UAGGGAAUAUUAGAAAUGGACGAAAGUCUGAUCUAGCAACACCGCGUGUGCGAAGAAGGCCUUCGGGUUGUAAAGCACUUUUUGGAAGGAUUAGGAAGGAAUGUACUUCCAGAAUAAGUCUCGGCUAACUACGUGCAGCAGCCGCGGUAACAAGUAGGAGGCAAACGUUAUCCGGAUUUACUGGGCGUAAAGCGCGUGUAGGUGGUUCUGUAAGUAGGGCGUGAAAGCUCCUGGCUCAACUGGGAGAGGCCGUUCUAAACUGCAGAGCUAGAGGAUGGUAGAGGGAGGUGGAAUUCCGGGUGUAGCGGUGGAAUGCGCAGAUAUCCGGAGGAACACCAGUGGCGAAAGCGGCCUCCUGGACCACUCCUGACACUCGGACGCGAAAGCUAGGGUAGCAAACG
This 401-nucleotide ribosomal RNA is filed under the name uncultured prokaryote. RNAcentral describes it as "bacterial SSU rRNA". It matches the Rfam family "Bacterial small subunit ribosomal RNA", at positions 355 to 774 of the family's 1533-position model. The record is from RNAcentral.